RNAcentral lists this unclassified non-coding RNA (273 nucleotides) under Hevea brasiliensis (rubber tree). Lineage: Eukaryota; Viridiplantae; Streptophyta; Magnoliopsida; Malpighiales; Euphorbiaceae. The record is from RNAcentral.
AUUUGAUGGCUUGAGGAAUCCAGAAAUAGUAUCUAACAACUCCUUAGUUGCAUUCAAAACAGCUCUUUGGUUUUGGAUGACUGAGCAGAAGCCCAAGCCCUCAUGCCACAAUGUCAUGGUAGGAAAAUAUACCCCUACAGAAGCUGACGCCAAAGCCAAUCGGACAGCCGGAUUUGGGUUGGUGACCAACAUUAUCAAUGGUGGUCUUGAGUGUGGAAUUCCUGAUGACAGCCGAGUUCAUGAUCGUAUUGGAUAUUUUCAGAGAUAUGCUAG